CCUACGGGCGGCAGCAGUGGGGAAUAUUGCGCAAUGGGCGAAAGCCUGACGCAGCGACGCCGCGUGAGGGAUGAAGGUCUUCGGAUCGUAAACCUCUGUCAGCAGGGAAGAACGGUCACUGUGCUAAUCAGCAGUGACUUGACGGUACCUGCAAAGGAAGCACCGGCUAACUCAGUGCCAGCAGCCGCGGUAAUACGGAGGGUGCGAGCGUUAAUCGGAAUUACUGGGCGUAAGGGGCUCGUAGGCGGUAUGUCAAGUCAAGGGUGAAAUCCCCGCGCUCAACGUGGGAACUGCCUUUGAAACUGGCAAACUGGAGUGUGUGAGAGGAUAGUGGAAUUCCAGGUGUAGGAGUGAAAUCCGUAGAUAUCUGGAGGAACAUCAGUGGCGAAGGCGACUAUCUGGCACAUAACUGACGCUGAGGAGCGAAAGCGUGGGUAGCAAACAGGAUUAGAUACCCCUGUAGUC
RNAcentral lists this ribosomal RNA (465 nucleotides) under uncultured bacterium. Its description in RNAcentral is "partial 16S ribosomal RNA". It matches the Rfam family "Bacterial small subunit ribosomal RNA", at positions 338 to 795 of the family's 1533-position model. The record is from RNAcentral.